Cavia porcellus (domestic guinea pig) is the source of this 2403-nucleotide long non-coding RNA. RefSeq lists it as uncharacterized. NCBI's taxonomy places the organism in Eukaryota, Metazoa, Chordata, Mammalia, Rodentia, Caviidae. The record is from RefSeq and is a predicted model, not a curated record. The transcript has 3 exons.
CCCGCCCUCCGCGGUGCUAAACUAACGGAGUCCCCAUGGAUUGCCGGGGUCUGUGCUGAGCCGUCCAAGCGCGGCCCAGCAGAGCGCCUGAAAUCUCCACCUUGCCCAGGAGUAAGGACCUUGCUUCACUACCCCGGGCGGGCGAGGCCGCUAUCCGUAUAGAGGACAAGAGCUUGAGGAGAAAAAGAAAGCAACGUGUCAACUCUGAGAGGCUGGGCUCAAUUCCUGGUGCAUGCUGGGAGAUUGUGCUGUGGCUUCCUUGCCUCUGACCUGGACUACUGGCAGCCUGCCUGGACUUCUGAGGAAACUGAGGCUCCAAAGCAAGUCACAGAUACAAGAAAUCUGUCUACUCCAAGAAGACGUGCCAGGUGUGUGGAAGAUGAACAGCAAUGCGAGACCACACAUGGUGACUCAUGGUAAGGAAUGAAGAGGGCUCUGGCAAGUGCAGGCUGCAUGCUCUGCAGAGCUGGGAGCCAUAUCUGAGUGGGCUGUAAGUGUUGGCUUAAAGGGGAUGGAAAAGCUCUUGGCAUCAUAAACAUGACAUGAUUCUAUCGCACACCUACCUGGCUCUCAGGCUCUGAUGUGUUGUACCCUGUGCUUUAGCCUGAUUGUUAUGUGAAUUCCCAGAGUCUGGAGGAUGAAUAGAAAGUAUGGGACAUCUGGGAAGUACCGAGUCACCAUCAGGCCAAGUCAGAUCAAGUCACCAUCAGACACAGACUGAAUGUUGAUUGUUUGUCUACAUCAAGAGAGCCUUUGGUUAGGUACACAGCAAGAAGCAUGCAGAGCCUUUUCUGAAUGGCUCAAGCUGUGACUGUUAGAAUAUAUGAGCACUGGACUUUUUGGUUUUUCUUAAAAGGAAUGAGUCAGGUAUGAUCAUGCAUAGGUAGAAUCCCAGCACUUGGGAAGCUGAGGCAGGAAGAUCUUGAGUUCAAAGCCAGCCUAGGCAACAUAGGGAGACCCUGUUUCAAAAAUAGAGAAGAUCUGUUCCAGCUGCUUUCUCAUACUGUGAUGGAGUACUUCCUGCCAGGAACUGGAAUUCACUGAUGUGCAAUUCUUUUGCUCUGGAAAGGGCCAGAAUCAGGACUUGCUUCAUCUCUUUCAAUGUCUUACUUUUGGUGCUUUGCAAGUAGAAGAUAAUUUGUAUUCUUCUGGGCAUGAAAAAGUAAGAAGCAUAAUGAAAGAGACUAUGUAAGAAUCAACCCUUCUAUUUGUACACAGAGCAAAUAUUUAAUGAACACCUAUUUUGUGUCAGGUAAAUUGGCAGAUAAUUACUAAGCAAUAAGAACGCAAAGAGAAUGACUUUUGUAUGCACUUAUUUUAUUUUUGAGACAGAGCCUCACUUGUCAAAGCUGACCUUGAAUAUCUGAGCUCAAGCCUCCUGCCUCAGCCUCAUUAACAAUGAGGACUGCAGGUACCUGCCACCAAACCUGUCUAUUGCAUGUGCAUUUUAAACCACUUACAGGUGAUUCAACUGGAUUAAACAUCCCUGUAGAAAAACAGUAAAUAUGUUCAUUUAUUCAUAUGCCAGCAUGUGCAGGGAACAACUUUGCAGUAAGGUGCCCUAUUUUAAUACCAACACUGUUAAAAAUGGCAUCUUCGGGGGAUUUUCUCUUUCUAUGUUGCACACAGUUGUAGUAUUCUAGUUUAUUAUAACUAACAAGCUUUACAUUCAUAACUAGAGUAAAACCAAUAAAUUUUUUUAAAAUAGUUAUUUUAAUGGGAAGAAAAGUUGACAAUACCAAGUGUAGGAAGAAAUGUGGGAGGUUGGGAACACGCCCUCCCCAGCUGGGAGUGUAAAUUGGCGUAAUUUGGAGAAGGAUGCAAAGCACAUGCCCUCUAACCCAGCCAUUCCUUCCUCACCCAGAGUGUACUCUAGAGGAAUGCACCAGAUUGGUGCACACAUGCACAAGAUAUCAGCCACAGCACCAUUUGUGAUGGUAAAGGAAAAGAAAGUCUCCUAGCACAUCAGGCUGAGGGGGAGUAUGUGUGUCAUGGCCUGUUCUCACGAGGCAGCCAUCUACCACCAUUAAGUAUGAAUGAACACCGCCAUACAAGUAUAACAUAGGUGAAUAGUGAAAAUAGUGUAAAAAGCAAAUAACUAUGGCCAGGUGUGGUUGGCAUAUGCCUCUAACCCCAGCUCUAAGAAGGCUCAGGCAGGAGAACUGUCACCAGUUUGAGGUCAACCUGGGUUACAUAGUGAGUUCAAAGCCAGCCUUACUACAUAGCAAGUUCCUAUCUCAAAACCUCCCAAAAGUUAAAAAUAAAAAUAAAAGAAAGUAGCAAGUGCCAUUAUGAUAUGUAAGAUCCAGAUUUGUGUAAUUUUUUAACACCCAGACCAAUGUUUGCUGUAAUUCUAUUUAUUGCUUACAGAACCAGAUUAAAUAAUAAAAAAAUUGAAGACUA